UCCUCCUUAGCUCAGUUGGUUAGAGCAUCUGACUGUUAAUCAGAGGGUCCGAGGUUCAAGUCCUCGAGGGGGAG
Molecule: transfer RNA, 74 nt
Filed under: Bacteroidales bacterium
Lineage: Bacteria; Pseudomonadati; Bacteroidota; Bacteroidia; Bacteroidales
Description: tRNA-Asn
Rfam family: tRNA
About the family: Transfer RNA (tRNA) molecules are approximately 80 nucleotides in length. Their secondary structure includes four short double-helical elements and three loops (D, anti-codon, and T loops).
Source: RNAcentral